GCUCCAGCGCCGGCUGCCAGCCCUGGCCACGCCGCCCUGCCUUAUUUAUAAACCCCGCUCAACCUUUGAUGUCUUCCUGAUGCCUACAGGGAUUUUUUUGGCACACGACCUGGAUGGGAUGGACAGAUCCUUAGCCACGGUCUGCCUCAGCGGUCGCUGAGUUCUUUAAAAAGUAAAAGCCAGCAUUUGUGUAAUUGCUGUCUAGCAGAGUCAGCAGUACCCAAUGGAGACAUGACCUACAUACCUCAGAAAUACAACAGGAACGUAACCAGUCGUAUCCAUGCAGAUAGAUGGAUGAGAUGGGCUAAUUGACUGAUGGACAUUGUGCACGAAUAUAAACAGGCAGAAAUUCAUGCCAGAAGGAUAAAAUGGACAGUUUCCAAGACUUUGCUUUUGGGAAUGACAACGCCAGAACUGUUGUAUACCACAUGGUAUGCAUAUUUCAGCAUCCAGCAUUAUUAACUCAUGACCGACUGUCAGUUGAUCAUUAUCUAACACAUGGGGUCUGCAAAAAAAGCCUUAUUUGGGCAAGAGCAGGCUCCGGACCCGCGCCCGCUGCAUUUUCCCCCAGAAGAACUUCAGCUGGAUUAUUAUCUGCUGUCAAUGGAAACUCCGAGGUUACUUAUGUGAAAUCUGCAGACGGGAAAAUAAAUCCUCACUCAGUUUAAACAGUUGAUAUUAAAACCAUCUCCAGCUCGGCUGGUUUAAAGAAAACUCUCAGUUGCCCUCUAGUGUCCCCCUGCUGCCACGCCAGGCAGCCUGCCCGCCACUGCCAAGGUCACACAAUUUAACCUGAUUUCACGACGGCAGAUUUAUUAUUUGCCGAAUAUUUUGCACAAAAGGGCGAGGGAGGGGGAUGCUUUUUCCGCCCUGGAAAUUUCAGGGCUCCGGCCCAGGAAGCCCAGGGCUUGCAUAAUGUUUACAGCUGUAACUGAGGCGCAUGACACACGGGUUUUAUGAGUGAGAAUCUCUGAAAUCGCUCUGUGUGCAGCACUCCAUAAAGUUCAUUCAUAACUAAAAAUAGACUAAUGUACAAACUGAUUUAGCAUUAUACUGAAGCUAAGGAACAUAGGGAGUCUGCAGAAUUCCCUAAUAUGGAAGAGAAGCUGAGUUUUCAAAAGCAGCAGUUUAUUUGUUUCUGAAAAUGGACAACAUAUGUAAAAGAUUUAAUACACAGAACCAGGUGUAUAUAUAGCCUAGAUCUUCAUAUGUGCCCAUUUUCAUGCUAUAUAAAGACUUCAUACAGCCUGAAACUAUAGAUUUAAUAAUAGAUUACUAAAUUAAGUCUGCACAAUCACUUCAUAAAAUAAAUAAUUUCAAUUUAAAAUACAGCUGAGGGGUUUGGACAAUUUCCUGCAUAAUAGAGGCCCAUCCCUGAAAUGUAAA
Molecule: long non-coding RNA, 1386 nt
Organism: Onychostruthus taczanowskii (white-rumped snowfinch)
Lineage: Eukaryota; Metazoa; Chordata; Aves; Passeriformes; Passeridae
Exons: 3
Source: RefSeq, a predicted model, not a curated record